GACGGAGGAUGCAAGUGUUAUCCGGAAUCACUGGGCGUAAAGCGUCUGUAGGUGGUUUAAAAAGUCCACUGUUAAAGAUUGAAGCUUAACUUCAAAAAUGCCGUGGAAACUUUUAAACUUGAGUAUGAUAGGGGUAGAGGGAAUUUCCAGUGGAGCGGUGAAAUGCGUAGAUAUUGGAAAGACCACCAAUGGCGAAGGCACUCUACUGGGCCAUUACUGACGCUGAGGUGCGAAAGCGUGGGGAGCAAACAGG
RNAcentral lists this ribosomal RNA (253 nucleotides) under uncultured bacterium. Its description in RNAcentral is "partial 16S ribosomal RNA". It matches the Rfam family "Bacterial small subunit ribosomal RNA", at positions 524 to 776 of the family's 1533-position model. The record is from RNAcentral.